RNAcentral lists this ribosomal RNA (447 nucleotides) under Shigella flexneri. RNAcentral describes it as "bacterial SSU rRNA". It matches the Rfam family "Bacterial small subunit ribosomal RNA", at positions 784 to 1231 of the family's 1533-position model. Lineage: Bacteria; Pseudomonadati; Pseudomonadota; Gammaproteobacteria; Enterobacterales; Enterobacteriaceae. The record is from RNAcentral.
ACCCUGGUAGUCCACGCCGUAAACGAUGUCGACUUGGAGGUUGUGCCCUUGAGGCGUGGCUUCCGGAGCUAACGCGUUAAGUCGACCGCCUGGGGAGUACGGCCGCAAGGUUAAAACUCAAAUGAAUUGACGGGGGCCCGCACAAGCGGUGGAGCAUGUGGUUUAAUUCGAUGCAACGCGAAGAACCUUACCUGGUCUUGACAUCCACGGAAGUUUUCAGAGAUGAGAAUGUGCCUUCGGGAACCGUGAGACAGGUGCUGCAUGGCUGUCGUCAGCUCGUGUUGUGAAAUGUUGGGUUAAGUCCCGCAACGAGCGCAACCCUUAUCCUUUGUUGCCAGCGGUCCGGCCGGGAACUCAAAGGAGACUGCCAGUGAUAAACUGGAGGAAGGUGGGGAUGACGUCAAGUCAUCAUGGCCCUUACGACCAGGGCUACACACGUGCUACAAU